Molecule: ribosomal RNA, 459 nt
Filed under: uncultured bacterium
Lineage: Bacteria
Description: partial 16S ribosomal RNA
Rfam family: Bacterial small subunit ribosomal RNA
Source: RNAcentral
CCUACGGGUGGCAGCAGUGAGGAAUAUUGGUCAAUGGGCGCGAGCCUGAACCAGCCAAGUCGCGUGAGGGAAGACGGUCCUAUGGAUUGUAAACCUCUUUUGUCGGGGAGCAAAAGACGCCACGCGUGGCGUUCCAAGAGUCCCCGAAGAACAAGCAUCGGCUAACUCCGUGCCAGCAGCCGCGGGAAUACGGAGGAUGCGAGCGUUUUCCGGAUUUAUUGGGUUUAAAGGGUGCGCAGGCGGAAGAUCAAGUCAGCGGUAAACUUGAGAGGCCCAAUCUCUUCGAGCCGUUGAAACUGGUUGUCUUGAGUGAACGAGAAGUAUGCGGAAUGCGUGGUGUAGCGGUGGAAUGCAUAGAUAUCACGCAGAACUCCGAUUGCGAAGGCAGCAUACCGGCGCUCAACUGACGCUCAUGCACGAAAGCGUGGGUAUCGAACAGGAUUAGAUACCCGGGUAGUC